This 1203-nucleotide ribosomal RNA is filed under the name Salmonella enterica. Its description in RNAcentral is "partial 23S ribosomal RNA". It matches the Rfam family "Bacterial large subunit ribosomal RNA", at positions 59 to 1302 of the family's 2925-position model. The record is from RNAcentral. Lineage: Bacteria; Pseudomonadati; Pseudomonadota; Gammaproteobacteria; Enterobacterales; Enterobacteriaceae.
UUCUAAUCUGCGAUAAGCGCCGGUAAGGUGAUAUGAACCGUUAUAACCGGCGAUACCCGAAUGGGGAAACCCAGUGUGAUUCGUCACACUAUCAUUAACUGAAUCCAUAGGUUAAUGAGGCGAACCGGGGGAACUGAAACAUCUAAGUACCCCGAGGAAAAGAAAUCAACCGAGAUUCCCCCAGUAGCGGCGAGCGAACGGGGAGGAGCCCAGAGCCUGAAUCAGCAUGUGUGUUAGUGGAAGCGUCUGGAAAGGCGCGCGAUACAGGGUGACAGCCCCGUACACAAAAGCGCAUGUGCUGUGAGCUCGAUGAGUAGGGCGGGACACGUGGUAUCCUGUCUGAAUAUGGGGGGACCAUCCUCCAAGGCUAAAUACUCCUGACUGACCGAUAGUGAACCAGUACCGUGAGGGAAAGGCGAAAAGAACCCCGGCGAGGGGAGUGAAAAAGAACCUGAAACCGUGUACGUACAAGCAGUGGGAGCACCCUUCGGGGUGUGACUGCGUACCUUUUGUAUAAUGGGUCAGCGACUUAUAUUCUGUAGCAAGGUUAACCGAAUAGGGGAGCCGGAGGGAAACCGAGUCUUAACCGGGCGUUAAGUUGCAGGGUAUAGACCCGAAACCCGGUGAUCUAGCCAUGGGCAGGUUGAAGGUUGGGUAACACUAACUGGAGGACCGAACCGACUAAUGUUGAAAAAUUAGCGGAUGACCUGUGGCUGGGGGUGAAAGGCCAAUCAAACCGGGAGAUAGCUGGUUCUCCCCGAAAGCUAUUUAGGUAGCGCCUCGUGAAUUCAUCUCCGGGGGUAGAGCACUGUUUCGGCUAGGGGGCCAUCCCGGCUUACCAACCCGAUGCAAACUGCGAAUACCGGAGAAUGUUAUCACGGGAGACACACGGCGGGUGCUAACGUCCGUCGUGAAGAGGGAAACAACCCAGACCGCCAGCUAAGGUCCCAAAGUCAUGGUUAAGUGGGAAACGAUGUGGGAAGGCCCAGACAGCCAGGAUGUUGGCUUAGAAGCAGCCAUCAUUUAAAGAAAGCGUAAUAGCUCACUGGUCGAGUCGGCCUGCGCGGAAGAUGUAACGGGGCUAAACCAUGCACCGAAGCUGCGGCAGCGACACUGUGUGUUGUUGGGUAGGGGAGCGUUCUGUAAGCCUGUGAAGGUGUGUCGUGAGGCAUGCUGGAGGUAUCAGAAGUGCGAUUGAUUACA